This 468-nucleotide ribosomal RNA is filed under the name uncultured bacterium. RNAcentral describes it as "partial 16S ribosomal RNA". It matches the Rfam family "Bacterial small subunit ribosomal RNA", at positions 28 to 507 of the family's 1533-position model. The record is from RNAcentral.
GACGAACGCUGGCGGCGUGCUUGACACAUGCAAGUUGAACGGAAAGGCCCUGCUUUUGUGGGGUGCUCGAGUGGCGAACGGGUGAGUAACACGUGAGUAACCUGCCCUUGACUUUGGGAUAACUUCAGGAAACUGGGGCUAAUACCGGAUAGGAGCUCCUGCUGCAUGGUGGGGGUUGGAAAGUUUCGGCGGUUGGGGAUGGACUCGCGGCUUAUCAGCUUGUUGGUGGGGUAGUGGCUUACCAAGGCUUUGACGGGUAGCCGGCCUGAGAGGGUGACCGGCCACAUUGGGACUGAGAUACGGCCCAGACUCCUACGGGAGGCAGCAGUGGGGAAUAUUGCACAAUGGGCGGAAGCCUGAUGCAGCAACGCCGCGUGCGGGAUGACGGCCUUCGGGUUGUAAACCGCUUUCGCCUGUGACGAAGCGUGAGUGACGGUAAUGGGUAAAGAAGCACCGGCUAACUACGUG